UGAGGAAUAUUGGUCAAUGGCCGAAAGGCUGAACCAGCCAUCCCGCGUGCAGGAUGACGGCCCUAUGGGUUGUAAACUGCUUUUCUACUUGAAGAAACCUGAUUACGUGUAAUCAGUUGCCGGUAAAGUAGGAAUAAGCAUCGGCUAACUCCGUGCCAGCAGCCGCGGUAAUACGGAGGAUGCAAGCGUUAUCCGGAUUCAUUGGGUUUAAAGGGUGCGCAGGCGGGCUUGUAAGUCAGUGGUGAAAUGCUGCCGCUUAACGGUAGAAUUGCCAUUGAUACUGCAGGUCUUGAAUAUGGUUGAGGUAGGCGGAAUGUGUUGUGUAGCGGUGAAAUGCAUAGAUAUGACACAGAACACCGAUUGCGAAGGCAGCUUACUAAGCCAUAAUUGACGCUGAGGCACGAAAGCGUGGGGAGCGAACAG
RNAcentral lists this ribosomal RNA (423 nucleotides) under uncultured bacterium. Its description in RNAcentral is "bacterial SSU rRNA". It matches the Rfam family "Bacterial small subunit ribosomal RNA", at positions 355 to 775 of the family's 1533-position model. The record is from RNAcentral.